This 246-nucleotide ribosomal RNA is filed under the name uncultured bacterium. RNAcentral's name for it is "partial 16S ribosomal RNA". It matches the Rfam family "Bacterial small subunit ribosomal RNA", at positions 118 to 347 of the family's 1533-position model. The record is from RNAcentral.
UGGGUAACCUGCCUCAAAGAGGGGAAUAGCCUCCCGAAAGGGAGAUUAAUACCGCAUAAUAUGUUUAGGUCGCAUGACUUUAACAUCAAAGGAUUUUCUUUUAGAAAUUUCCACUUUGAGAUGGACCCGCGGCGCAUUAGCUAGUUGGUGAGGUAACGGCUCACCAAGGCAACGAUGCGUAGCCGACCUGAGAGGGUGAUCGGCCACAUUGGAACUGAGACACGGUCCAGACUCCUACGGGAGCAG